AGCAAAAACUAUACUGUCAUUAAACGAUUUACUCAAAACCUAUUUUCUUCGUCAUAUUUUAGUUACUAACAUUUUAAAGACACUUGACAUCUUUUAAAAUUUUGUUUAUAUACAACACUUACAGAAAAUUCAUAAUGUUUAGGCUUAAUUUUAGGAAGCAAUUGCACUGAUACAGCCAGGUUGGGCAGUGAGCCCAUCUUCAUCUUCAACAUUAGGACAUUAUGCAGGGCUUAGAAAAGGAGUCUGGGUUAAUUGUAGCAUUUUAAACGACCAUGUCCUUGCUAGCUUAGCUGCAGAGUAAGAAACCCCCUUUCAACUCCAUUGACAGCAGUGAGUCUUCCC
RNAcentral lists this long non-coding RNA (342 nucleotides) under Gossypium barbadense (sea-island cotton). RNAcentral's name for it is "long non-coding RNA (GBAR_LNC001907)". Lineage: Eukaryota; Viridiplantae; Streptophyta; Magnoliopsida; Malvales; Malvaceae. The record is from RNAcentral.